UGACCGUGCAAAGGUAGCGCAAUCACUUGUCUUUUAAAUGGAGACCCGUAUGAAUGGCAAGACGAGGGCUUGACUGUCUCCUUUUUCAAGUCAAUGAAAUUGAUCUUCCCGUGCAGAAGCGGGAAUUUUAACAUAAGACGAGAAGACCCUAUGGAGCUUUAGACACCAAGACAGACCACGUCAAAACCCCCUAACUCAAAGGACUGAACUAGGUGGACCCUGUCCUAAUGUCUUUGGUUGGGGCGACCACGGGGAAACACAAAACCCCCGCGCGGAACGGGAGCACCCUACUCCUAAAACUAAGAGCCU
RNAcentral lists this ribosomal RNA (309 nucleotides) under Cynoscion sp. REDES-OC31. Its description in RNAcentral is "partial 16S ribosomal RNA". It matches the Rfam family "Bacterial large subunit ribosomal RNA", at positions 1943 to 2382 of the family's 2925-position model. Lineage: Eukaryota; Metazoa; Chordata; Actinopteri; Sciaenidae. The record is from RNAcentral.